RNAcentral lists this long non-coding RNA (85 nucleotides) under Jaculus jaculus (lesser Egyptian jerboa). RNAcentral describes it as "Myocardial infarction associated transcript exon 5 conserved region 2 (ENSJJAG00000001946.1)". It matches the Rfam family "Myocardial infarction associated transcript exon 5 conserved region 2". From Rfam's summary of the family: MIAT (myocardial infarction associated transcript), also known as RNCR2 (retinal non-coding RNA 2) or Gomafu, is a noncoding RNA. The record is from RNAcentral. Lineage: Eukaryota; Metazoa; Chordata; Mammalia; Rodentia; Dipodidae.
UGGUUAUCCGUGCUCUCACUUUACUAACUCAGCCCUUACUAACCAUUUUCUCUUCUUACUAACCCAGCCCUGCCGAGCUCUGGGC